This 306-nucleotide long non-coding RNA is filed under the name Anas platyrhynchos platyrhynchos (common mallard). RNAcentral's name for it is "lncRNA (ENSAPLG00000019172.1)". The record is from RNAcentral. Lineage: Eukaryota; Metazoa; Chordata; Aves; Anseriformes; Anatidae.
AAUCUGUGGUUUACCCUUCUGGUCCUGCAGCUGUCCAUAGCAAAGAAAAGCAUUAAAAAGCUGUUAAGUCGUCAGUGCUCCGAAAUGUCUUGAAGUCACAGGGAGGCAGAAGGUGACACCGCACAUCCCAGGGAACUGUGCUGCCUGCCCAUAGACCAAGUUUUCAAGAAUAAAAGACAGGAGCCAGAGUGGCUGCACCAAAACACUCAUGGAAAGCAGAAGACGAUGGAGUCCAGCCAGACACCAGCCAGGAGGAAGCAGGAAGUGUGUGGAGGUAUGGUAACUUCAUUUCAACAAACUAUAUGA